This is a non-coding RNA of Podarcis lilfordi (Lilford's wall lizard), 72 nucleotides long. NCBI's taxonomy places the organism in Eukaryota, Metazoa, Chordata, Lepidosauria, Squamata, Lacertidae. The record is from the annotation of a GenBank genome assembly.
GGCAGUGGGGUGUAGUGGUUAGAGUGUCGGGCUGAGACCUGGGAGAUCUGGGUUCGAAUCCCCGCUCCGUCG